AGAGUUUGAUCCUGGCUCAGGAUGAACGCUAGCGGCAGGCUUAACACAUGCAAGUCGAGGGGCAGCACGGGUAGCAAUAUCUGGUGGCGACCGGCGCAAGGGUGCGUAACGCGUGAGCAACAUGCCCGUAUCAGGGGAAUAAUCCAGGGAAACUUGGUCUAAUACCCCAUAGCAAUUAUUUGAGGCAUCUUAAAUAAUUUAAAGCUUUGGUGGAUACGGAUUGGCUCGCGUGACAUUAGCUAGAUGGUAAGGUAACGGCUUACCAUGGCUACGAUGUCUAGGGGUUCUGAGAGGAAGAUCCCCCACACUGGAACUGAGACACGGUCCAGACUCCUACGGGAGGCAGCAGUGAGGAAUAUUGGACAAUGGAUGGAAAUCUGAUCCAGCCAUGCCGCGUGCAGGAAGACGGCCCUAUGGGUUGUAAACUGCUUUUGUGUGGGAGCAAUAAGGUCUAUGCGUAGACUGAUGAGAGUACCAUACGAAUAAGCAUCGGCUAACUCCGUGCCAGCAGCCGCGGUAAUACGGGGGAUGCAAGCGUUAUCCGGAUUUAUUGGGUUUAAAGGGUGCGUAGGCGGUUUGAUAAGUCAGCGGUGAAAUAUUUCAGCUUAACUGAAAGGGUGCCGUUGAUACUGUCAGGCUUGAAUAUGGUUGCUGUGGGUGGAAUGUGUGGUGUAGCGGUGAAAUGCUUAGAUAUCACACAGAAUAUCGAUUGCGAAGGCAGCUCACAAAGCCAUUAUUGACGCUGAUGCACGAAAGUGUGGGGAUCAAACAGGAUUAGAUACCCUGGUAGUCCACACUGU
This 800-nucleotide ribosomal RNA is filed under the name uncultured bacterium. RNAcentral's name for it is "bacterial SSU rRNA". It matches the Rfam family "Bacterial small subunit ribosomal RNA", at positions 8 to 803 of the family's 1533-position model. The record is from RNAcentral.